RNAcentral lists this ribosomal RNA (254 nucleotides) under uncultured bacterium. RNAcentral describes it as "partial 16S ribosomal RNA". It matches the Rfam family "Bacterial small subunit ribosomal RNA", at positions 524 to 776 of the family's 1533-position model. The record is from RNAcentral.
UACGAAGGGGGCUAGCGCUUGUUCGGAUUUACUGGGCGUAAAGCGCACGUAGGCGGAUCGAUCAGUCAGGGGUGAAAUCCCAGAGCUCAACUCUGGAACUGCCUUUGAUACUGUCGAUCUGGAGUAUGGAAGAGGUGAGUGGAAUUCCGAGUGUAGAGGUGAAAUUCGUAGAUAUUCGGAGGAACACCAGUGGCGAAGGCGGCUCACUGGUCCAUUACUGACGCUGAGGUGCGAAAGCGUGGGGAGCAAACAGG